CCUACGGGAGGCAGCAGUAGGGAAUAUUGCUCAAUGGGCGAAACCCUGAAGCAGCAACGCCGCGUGGAGGAUGAAGGUUUUCGGAUUGUAAACUCCUUUUGUUAGAGAAGAUAAUGACGGUAUCUAACGAAUAAGCACCGGCUAACUCCGUGCCAGCAGCCGCGGUAAUACGGAGGGUGCAAGCGUUACUCGGAAUCACUGGGCGUAAAGAGCGCGUAGGCGGGCUAGCAAGUCAGAUGUGAAAUCCUAUGGCUUAACCAUAGAACUGCAUUUGAAACUGUUAUUCUAGAGUAUGGGAGAGGUAGGUGGAAUUCUUGGUGUAGGGGUAAAAUGCGUAGAGAUAAAGAGGAAUACUCAUUGCGAAGGCGACCUGCUAGAACGUAACUGACGCUGAGGCGCGAAAGCGUGGGGAGCAAACAGGAUUAGAUACCCCGGUAGUC
RNAcentral lists this ribosomal RNA (440 nucleotides) under uncultured bacterium. Its description in RNAcentral is "partial 16S ribosomal RNA". It matches the Rfam family "Bacterial small subunit ribosomal RNA", at positions 338 to 795 of the family's 1533-position model. The record is from RNAcentral.